UGAGGAAUAUUGGUCAAUGGGUGCAAGCCUGAACCAGCCAUCCCGCGUGAAGGACGACUGCCCUAUGGGUUGUAAACUUCUUUUGUAUAGGGAUAAACCUACCCUCGUGAGGGUAGCUGAAGGUACUAUACGAAUAAGCACCGGCUAACUCCGUGCCAGCAGCCGCGGUAAUACGGCGGGUGCACGCGUUAUCCGGAUUUAUUGGGUUUAAAAGGGUCCGUAGGCGGACUUAUAAGUCAGUGGUGAAAGCCUGUCGCUUAACGAUAGAACUGCCAUGGAUACUGUAAG
Molecule: ribosomal RNA, 288 nt
Filed under: uncultured prokaryote
Description: partial 16S ribosomal RNA
Rfam family: Bacterial small subunit ribosomal RNA
Source: RNAcentral